Long non-coding RNA from Leopardus geoffroyi (Geoffroy's cat), 910 nucleotides. RefSeq lists it as uncharacterized. The transcript is spliced from 5 exons. NCBI's taxonomy places the organism in Eukaryota, Metazoa, Chordata, Mammalia, Carnivora, Felidae. The record is from RefSeq and is a predicted model, not a curated record.
ACUGACAGGGGAAUUCCAGUCCCCACAGGAAGCCUCCCCUUCCGGGUUCUUCUUCCCACCCCGCUCCCCGCAUGCGCCAAAUGACUACUAAUACGGAAUGCGGAAGUGACCGACUAUAAAUUGUUCCCUCUGCUUAUGCCUGGGCUCAGACCUCUGGAGACUGAUCUCUGACCUGCCAGUGUAAAAUAAUCUUGCCUUCCAAGAUCUCCGAGUGCCGCUUGACUCUUCUGCCAGGUGAUCCAGACCAGGUUCCGUAACAUUUGGUUUCCUGACCGGGAAACCGUGCUGGCCCAUUGUUGCCACCGGUUUGGGAAAACGGCGAGGCGGUGACGGAACGAGGAAUCACAACCGAGAAGGCGCGCCCUGCCUGAAUUUCGGCAGUCUCCCUCUCGGUGGCCUCAGGCCGGCCCCAGUCUGUCUGCCGUUCCCACUGGACUGGAGGAGACUUGGCCGUGGAGGAUCUGGACCUGACGUCGGAUACAGUUGCCAUGAGGAUGAGAGCUGCUUUGUUCUAUCUGAUGGCUACUUUUCUGGUUCUGUGAUUUGGGGAAGAAGGGGAACAGAUUUCACAAAAUUCCCUUCAUGUCCUUACUUAGAAUGAGGCAAAGAAGAAAAGUACCACAUGUACUGUCCUGGGGCAGCACAGUCAUGGGGCAACAAAGGCACAAAAUGGGGCCUGUAGAGGAUCCAAUGGUUGGCCAAGUAGCAAAGGAUUCAACUCUGUGAGGAUCUUAGGGGCACAGGCUCAGUGAUGGCAAGACGGCAGAUAAUUUCACAGUGCCAUCCUGUUGGUGACUAUAAUUACUGUCCCUGAAGAAUGAAACAAAGACUUCCCACUAAGAUCUAUUGUAGUCCAAUUUAUAUUUCAGAAGUUUAAAUUGAUAAUUAAGUGAUUUUAACACAAACUUUA